RNAcentral lists this ribosomal RNA (397 nucleotides) under uncultured bacterium. Its description in RNAcentral is "partial 16S ribosomal RNA". It matches the Rfam family "Bacterial small subunit ribosomal RNA", at positions 523 to 918 of the family's 1533-position model. The record is from RNAcentral.
AUACGUAGGGGGCGAGCGUUGUCCGGAAUGAUUGGGCGUAAAGGGCGCGUAGGCGGCGCGGUAAGUCUGGAGUGAAAGUCCUGCUUUCAAGGUGGGAAUUGCUUUGGAUACUGCCGCGCUUGAGUGCAGGAGAGGUUAUCGGAAUUCCCGGUGUAGCGGUGAAAUGCGUAGAGAUCGGGAGGAACACCAGUGGCGAAGGCGGGUAACUGGACUGCAACUGACGCUGAGGCGCGAAAGUGUGGGGAGCAAACAGGAUUAGAUACCCUGGUAGUCCACACUGUAAACGAUGAAUGCUAGGUGUAAGAGGUAUCGACCCCUUUUGUGCCGGAGUCAACACAAUAAGCAUUCCGCCUGGGGAGUACGGCCGCAAGGUUGAAACUCAAAUGAAGUGACGGGG